AGUUGCCUGAGGACAGCAGUGCAGUUGACAUGGAUAUUCUCUUUCCUCUGCACAGUGUUAUUGGUACAGAGCUGUGCCCCAGCUCCAUUCCCCAGAUCAUCCAUUUCGUCCUCUUUGUUGUGUUCAGCCUGGUGAUCCUGAUUAUCUUACGCCUCUACAUUCCCAGGGAGCCGUCCUCAGUGCCUCCCAGAGAGGACAGCGAGAAUGAUCAAGCUGAAGUGGGGGAAUGGCUCAGGAUCGGAAAUAAAUAUAUCACUUUGAAAGAUUACAGAAUUCUCUUGAAAGAACUGGAGAACCUUGAGAUCUACACUUUCCUGUCGAAAAAGUGCCUGAAGAAGCUCUCUAGGGAGGGCAGCUCCGAUCACCUUCCACGCCAAGUCCGCCCAGGGCCAGUGUACAAACGAGCACCUGCUAGGAACCACCGGCCACGUGGGGGGCGUGGGAAAGCUUCUCCCACCAGCUUCCAUGUGUCCCCACGGGCUCCCCCGGCUCCUCUGGCCUCCAUGCCGUCAUCAGUCCCGAAGACCUCUGUAGAGUCCUUGGGGUAUCUAUCAUCCCUGAGCUCCUCCAAGCCACGAGAGCCUCUGUGUCCCCUGAAGCACCCUUCACACCAGCCACCUGCGAGCACCCUAUCACCAAACCCGACCACCUCCACAGAAUCCUUGGGGUAUCUGUCAUCCCUCAGCUCCUCCCAGCCACCAGAGCCUUUGCGUCCCCUGAAGCACCCUUCACACAAGCCACGUGGGCGUUCCCUUCCCCAACGACGGAAUCCUGGCUGGGUGUCCUGGUCCGACUCCAUGCAGGCUGAUUCCGAAACUGACGCCAUAAUAUGCCCAAUGUGCAAGGCCCCUGAGCGCUCCUGUCCACACACCUGGUGGGUGCCUUCUAGCCCUCGAGUGAUCCGAGGCGUUGGUCGCUGCAGUGAUCCCAACCUGGGCCUCUCCUGGAGGCAGGAGGCUGCUAGAGCCUGGUGCCACUGCACCUCCUCACAGUUCCCAUUCAAGCACCCUAAUCUUCCCACCCACCUACCAAAGGCUUCCUUCUAGGGAGACCCCACAUGCAGGCAGGUGGAGGCAGGGGUCCCGCUUUCCUCAGCCUGGAUGUGCCAACGCUGCUGGACGCACAAGACACCAAAACCCCAGACACUCCCAUGGACACCAAAUAUCCGACAUCCACGAACAAUUGGGAAUCUCCUGAGGACAACUUGGAGAUGGAGUCUCACUCUGUUGCUCAGGCUGGAGUGCAGUGGCACCAUCUUGGCUCACCACAACCUCCGCCUCCCGGAUUCAAGUCAUUCUCCUGCCUCAGCCUCCCGAGUAGCUGGGAUUACAGGCUCGUGCCACCGCACCCAGCUAAUUUUUGUAAUUUUAGUCGAGAGAAGGUGUCACCAUGUUGGCCAGGCUUGUCUUGAACUCCUGACCUUGAGAUAUCUGCCCACCUCAGCCUCUCAAAGUGCUGGGAUUAUAGGCUUGAGCCACCACGCCCGGAUGAAUCACAAAUUGUAAACCUGAAUAAAAUGCUGCAACCUCCAAUGAGAGGAAAA
Molecule: small RNA, 1543 nt
Filed under: Pan troglodytes (chimpanzee)
Lineage: Eukaryota; Metazoa; Chordata; Mammalia; Primates; Hominidae
Description: retained intron
Source: RNAcentral